RNAcentral lists this ribosomal RNA (468 nucleotides) under uncultured bacterium. RNAcentral's name for it is "partial 16S ribosomal RNA". It matches the Rfam family "Bacterial small subunit ribosomal RNA", at positions 28 to 507 of the family's 1533-position model. The record is from RNAcentral.
GACGAACGCUGGCGGCGUGCUUAACACAUGCAAGUCGAACGGAAAGGCCCUGCUUUUGUGGGGUGCUCGAGUGGCGAACGGGUGAGUAACACGUGAGUAACCUGCCCUUGACUUUGGGAUAACUUCAGGAAACUGGGGCUAAUACCGGAUAGGAGCUCCUGCUGCAUGGUGGGGGGUGGAAAGUUUCGGCGGUUGGGGAUGGGCUCGCGGCUUAUCAGCUUGUUGGUGGGGUAGUGGCUUACCAAGGCUUUGACGGGUAGCCGGCCUGAGAGGGUGACCGGCCACAUUGGGACUGAGAUACGGCCCAGACUCCUACGGGAGGCAGCAGUGGGGAAUAUUGCACAAUGGGCGGAAGCCUGAUGCAGCAACGCCGCGUGCGGGAUGACGGCCUUCGGGUUGUAAACCGCUUUCGCCUGUGACGAAGCGUGAGUGACGGUAAUGGGUAAAGAAGCACCGGCUAACUACGUG